CUGUUAAGGUCCCUUGCUGCUUUUGCUCCCUUGUGUGUGCCAUGUUGUUUCUCCUCUGUGAUGCCCGACUGCCAUUCACCCUGCCUUGGAGCCAGCCAAUUAUGGACUGAAACCUCUACAAAAUUGACUAUGCUCCAGAUGACAAGACUACAAGACUGGAGAAGGCUGCCCAAAGUGCACUGGGCUCCACAUGAAUGAGGAAAAAACCCCAUCCUGUUAUUGUCUAAGCCAUGGAGAUUUUUAGAAUUUAUUUGUUACUGCAGCAUGGCAUAGUAUAGUCCAGUCAAAACAAAUACUAAAAGUCUUAUAACAAAAACAAACAAUAGCCAGGAAUUUAGCUCAGUGAUUCCGCUGCCUGUCCCUCAAGCGCAAGGACUCAAGUUUGAUCCCCAGUACCCCAAACAAGCAAACAAUAAAAGAAGCAAUUCCUCUACUGACUUAGUUUUCUGUUGCUAUAACAAAAUACCUGAGACAGGUAUACUGGCAUACCACUGUUUUCCCAGCUGUUUGGGAAGCUGAGGCAAGAGGAUCAUUUGAGCAGCCUCCCUAGUAGCUGGGACUGCAGGUGUCUACCGCUGUGCCCGGUGGUCCUCUUUUCUUAUAAAGCCACUAAUGCCAUCAGGAGGGCUCCACCCCCAUGACUUCCUCUAUCC
Long non-coding RNA from Heterocephalus glaber (naked mole-rat), 653 nucleotides. NCBI's taxonomy places the organism in Eukaryota, Metazoa, Chordata, Mammalia, Rodentia, Bathyergidae. The record is from Ensembl.